AUACGUAGGGAGCGAGCGUUAUCCGGAAUGAUUGGGCGUAAAGGGCGCGUAGGCGGCCCGGUAAGUCUGGAGUGAAAGUCCUGCUUUUAAGGUGGGAAUUGCUUUGGAUACUGUCGGGCUUGAGUGCAGGAGAGGUAAGUGGAAUUCCCAGUGUAGCGGUGAAAUGCGUAGAGAUUGGGAGGAACACCAGUGGCGAAGGCGACUUACUGGACUGUAACUGACGCUGAGGCGCGAAAGUGUGGGGAGCAAACAGGAUUAGAUACCCUGGUAGUCCACACUGUAAACGAUGAAUGCUAGGUGUAGGGGGUAUCGACCCCUUCUGUGCCGCAGUUAGCACAAUAAGCAUUCCGCCUGGGGAGUACGGCCGCAAGGUUGAAACUCAAAGGAAUUGGCGGGG
RNAcentral lists this ribosomal RNA (397 nucleotides) under uncultured bacterium. RNAcentral's name for it is "partial 16S ribosomal RNA". It matches the Rfam family "Bacterial small subunit ribosomal RNA", at positions 523 to 918 of the family's 1533-position model. The record is from RNAcentral.